AAGUCGUAACAAGGUUUCCGUAGGUGAACCUGCGGAAGGAUCAUUAAAGAUUCGGGUCGCAAGAUCUAUCUUUUCUCCAGCUGUGCGCUUCGGCUGCACGCUGUUGAAAUCCAACCUUCACACCUGUGAACCUUUCGGGGGCGCUCUGCGCUUCCGCUUUACAUGUAACAACUUAAGUUUAGAAUGUUUUAAUACUAUAAAGUAACAACUUUCAACAACGGAUCUCUUGGCUCUC
RNAcentral lists this unclassified non-coding RNA (235 nucleotides) under air metagenome. Its description in RNAcentral is "partial contains small subunit ribosomal RNA, internal transcribed spacer 1, and 5.8S ribosomal RNA". The stretch from base 1 to 46 matches the Rfam family "Eukaryotic small subunit ribosomal RNA", at positions 1786 to 1831 of the family's 1831-position model. The record is from RNAcentral.